GGGUUGUGAGGUUAAGCGACUAAGCGUACACGGUGGAUGCCCUGGCAGUCAGAGGCGAUGAAGGACGUGCUAAUCUGCGAUAAGCGUCGGUAAGGUGAUAUGAACCGUUAUAACCGGCGAUUUCCGAAUGGGGAAACCCAGUGUGUUUCGACACACUAUCAUUAACUGAAUCCAUAGGUUAAUGAGGCGAACCGGGGGAACUGAAACAUCUAAGUACCCCGAGGAAAAGAAAUCAACCGAGAUUCCCCCAGUAGCGGCGAGCGAACGGGGAGCAGCCCAGAGCCUGAAUCAGUGUGUGUGUUAGUGGAAGCGUCUGGAAAGGCGCGCGAUACAGGGUGACAGCCCCGUACACAAAAAUGCACAUGCUGUGAGCUCGAUGAGUAGGGCGGGACACGUGGUAUCCUGUCUGAAUAUGGGGGGACCAUCCUCCAAGGCUAAAUACUCCUGACUGACCGAUAGUGAACCAGUACCGUGAGGGAAAGGCGAAAAGAACCCCGGCGAGGGGAGUGAAAAAGAACCUGAAACCGUGUACGUACAAGCAGUGGGAGCACGCUUCGGCGUGUGACUGCGUACCUUUUGUAUAAUGGGUCAGCGACUUAUAUUCUGUAGCAAGGUUAACCGAAUAGGGGAGCCGAAGGGAAACCGAGUCUUAACUGGGCGUUAAGUUGCAGGGUAUAGACCCGAAACCCGGUGAUCUAGCCAUGGGCAGGUUGAAGGUUGGGUAACACUAACUGGAGGACCGAACCGACUAAUGUUGAAAAAUUAGCGGAUGACUUGUGGCUGGGGGUGAAAGGCCAAUCAAACCGGGAGAUAGCUGGUUCUCCCCGAAAGCUAUUUAGGUAGCGCCUCGUGAACUCGUCUCCGGGGGUAGAGCACUGUUUCGGCAAGGGGGUCAUCCCGACUUACCAACCCGAUGCAAACUGCGAAUACCGGAGAAUGUUAUCACGGGAGACACACGGCGGGUGCUAACGUCCGUCGUGAAGAGGGAAACAACCCAGACCGCCAGCUAAGGUCCCAAAGUCAUGGUUAAGUGGGAAACGAUGUGGGAAGGCCCAGACAGCCAGGAUGUUGGCUUAGAAGCAGCCAUCAUUUAAAGAAAGCGUAAUAGCUCACUGGUCGAGUCGGCCUGCGCGGAAGAUGUAACGGGGCUAAACCAUGCACCGAAGCUGCGGCAGCGACGCUGAUGCGUUGUUGGGUAGGGGAGCGUUCUGUAAGCCUGCGAAGGUGUGCUGUGAGGCAUGCUGGAGGUAUCAGAAGUGCGAAUGCUGACAUAAGUAACGAUAAAGCGGGUGAAAAGCCCGCUCGCCGGAAGACCAAGGGUUCCUGUCCAACGUUAAUCGGGGCAGGGUGAGUCGACCCCUAAGGCGAGGCCGAAAGGCGUAGUCGAUGGGAAACAGGUUAAUAUUCCUGUACUUGGUGUUACUGCGAAGGGGGGACGGAGAAGGCUAUGUUGGCCGGGCGACGGUUGUCCCGGUUUAAGCGUGUAGGCUGGUUUUCCAGGCAAAUCCGGAAAAUCAAGGCUGAGGCGUGAUGACGAGGCACUACGGUGCUGAAGCAACAAAUGCCCUGCUUCCAGGAAAAGCCUCUAAGCAUCAGGUAACAUCAAAUCGUACCCCAAACCGACACAGGUGGUCAGGUAGAGAAUACCAAGGCGCUUGAGAGAACUCGGGUGAAGGAACUAGGCAAAAUGGUGCCGUAACUUCGGGAGAAGGCACGCUGAUAUGUAGGUGAAGCGACUUGCUCGUGGAGCUGAAAUCAGUCGAAGAUACCAGCUGGCUGCAACUGUUUAUUAAAAACACAGCACUGUGCAAACACGAAAGUGGACGUAUACGGUGUGACGCCUGCCCGGUGCCGGAAGGUUAAUUGAUGGGGUUAGCGCAAGCGAAGCUCUUGAUCGAAGCCCCGGUAAACGGCGGCCGUAACUAUAACGGUCCUAAGGUAGCGAAAUUCCUUGUCGGGUAAGUUCCGACCUGCACGAAUGGCGUAAUGAUGGCCAGGCUGUCUCCACCCGAGACUCAGUGAAAUUGAACUCGCUGUGAAGAUGCAGUGUACCCGCGGCAAGACGGAAAGACCCCGUGAACCUUUACUAUAGCUUGACACUGAACAUUGAGCCUUGAUGUGUAGGAUAGGUGGGAGGCUUAGAAGUGUGGACGCCAGUCUGCAUGGAGCCGACCUUGAAAUACCACCCUUUAAUGUUUGAUGUUCUAACGUUGACCCGUAAUCCGGGUUGCGGACAGUGUCUGGUGGGUAGUUUGACUGGGGCGGUCUCCUCCUAAAGAGUAACGGAGGAGCACGAAGGUUGGCUAAUCCUGGUCGGACAUCAGGAGGUUAGUGCAAUGGCAUAAGCCAGCUUGACUGCGAGCGUGACGGCGCGAGCAGGUGCGAAAGCAGGUCAUAGUGAUCCGGUGGUUCUGAAUGGAAGGGCCAUCGCUCAACGGAUAAAAGGUACUCCGGGGAUAACAGGCUGAUACCGCCCAAGAGUUCAUAUCGACGGCGGUGUUUGGCACCUCGAUGUCGGCUCAUCACAUCCUGGGGCUGAAGUAGGUCCCAAGGGUAUGGCUGUUCGCCAUUUAAAGUGGUACGCGAGCUGGGUUUAGAACGUCGUGAGACAGUUCGGUCCCUAUCUGCCGUGGGCGCUGGAGAACUGAGGGGGGCUGCUCCUAGUACGAGAGGACCGGAGUGGACGCAUCACUGGUGUUCGGGUUGUCAUGCCAAUGGCACUGCCCGGUAGCUAAAUG
RNAcentral lists this ribosomal RNA (2738 nucleotides) under Escherichia coli. Its description in RNAcentral is "bacterial LSU rRNA". It matches the Rfam family "Bacterial large subunit ribosomal RNA". The record is from RNAcentral. Lineage: Bacteria; Pseudomonadati; Pseudomonadota; Gammaproteobacteria; Enterobacterales; Enterobacteriaceae.